UCCAGACUCCUACGGGAGGCAGCAGUGGGGAAUAUUGCACAAUGGGGGAAACCCUGAUGCAGCGACGCCGCGUGAGUGAAGAAGUAUUUCGGUAUGUAAAGCUCUAUCAGCAGGGAAGAAAAUGACGGUACCUGACUAAGAAGCCCCGGCUAACUACGUGCCAGCAGCCGCGGUAAUACGUAGGGGGCAAGCGUUAUCCGGAUUUACUGGGUGUAAAGGGAGCGUAGACGGCAAGGCAAGUCUGGAGUGAAAGCCCGUGGCUCAACCACGGGACUGCUUUGGAAACUGUGUUGCUGGAGUGCAGGAGGGGUAAGCGGAAUUCCUAGUGUAGCGGUGAAAUGCGUAGAUAUCAGGAGGAACACCGGUGGCGAAGGCGGCCUGCUGGACUGCAACUGACGUUGAGGCCCGAAAGCGUGGGGAGCAAACAGGAUUAGAUACCCGAGUA
RNAcentral lists this ribosomal RNA (445 nucleotides) under uncultured bacterium. Its description in RNAcentral is "bacterial SSU rRNA". It matches the Rfam family "Bacterial small subunit ribosomal RNA", at positions 330 to 792 of the family's 1533-position model. The record is from RNAcentral.